GAUGAACGCUGGCGGCGUGCCUAAUACAUGCAAGUCGAGCGAAUGGAUUAAGAGCUUGCUCUUAUGAAGUUAGCGGCGGACGGGUGAGUAACACGUGGGUAACCUGCCCAUAAGACUGGGAUAACUCCGGGAAACCGGGGCUAAUACCGGAUAACAUUUUGAACCGCAUGGUUCGAAAUUGUAAGGCGGCUUCCGCUGUCACUUAUGGAUGGACCCGCGUCGCAUUAGCUAGUUGGUGAGGUAACGGCUCACCAAGGCAACGAUGCGUAGCCGACCUGAGAGGGUUAGCGGCCACACGGGGACUGAGACACGGCCCAGACUCCUACGGGAGGCAGCAGUAAGGAAUCUUCCGCAAUGGACGACAGUCUGACGGAGCAACGCCGCGUGAGUGAUGAAGGCUUUCGGGUCGUAAAACUCUGUUGUUAGGGAAGAACAAGUGCUAGUUGAAUAAGCUGGCACCUUGACGGUACCUAACCAGAAAGCCACGGCUAACUACGUGCCAGCAGCCGCGGUAA
RNAcentral lists this ribosomal RNA (515 nucleotides) under uncultured bacterium. RNAcentral's name for it is "partial 16S ribosomal RNA". It matches the Rfam family "Bacterial small subunit ribosomal RNA", at positions 28 to 523 of the family's 1533-position model. The record is from RNAcentral.